CCUACGGGAGGCAGCAGUGAGGAAUAUUGGUCAAUGGGCGCGAGCCUGAACCAGCCAAGUCGCGUGCGGGAAGACGGCCCUAUGGAUUGUAAACCUCUUUUGUCGGGGGGCAAAAGACGCCACGCGUGGCGUUCCGAGAGUACCCGACGAAUAAGCAUCGGCUAACUCCGUGCCAGCAGCCGCGGUAAUACGGAGGAUGCGAGCGUUAUCCGGAUUUAUUGGGUUUAAAGGGUGCGCAGGCGGACGAUCAAGUCAGCGGUAAAAUUGAGAGGCUCAACCUCUUCGAGCCGUUGAAACUGGUUGUCUUGAGUGAGCGAGAGGUAGGCGGAAUGCGUGGUGUAGCGGUGAAAUGCAUAGAUAUCACGCAGAACUCCGAUUGCGAAGGCAGCAUACCGGCGCUCAACUGACGCUCAGGCACGAAAGUGUGGGUAUCGAACAGGAUUAGAUACCCGUGUAGUC
Molecule: ribosomal RNA, 459 nt
Filed under: uncultured bacterium
Lineage: Bacteria
Description: partial 16S ribosomal RNA
Rfam family: Bacterial small subunit ribosomal RNA
Source: RNAcentral